UGCCAGACUCCUACGGGAGGCAGCAGUGAGGAAUAUUGGUCAAUGGCCGGAAGGCUGAACCAGCCAAGUCGCGUGAGGGAAGACUGCCCUAUGGGUUGUAAACCUCUUUUGUCAGGGAGCAAUUGGCGCUACGUGUAGCGUUAUCGAGAGUACCUGAAGAAAAAGCAUCGGCUAACUCCGUGCCAGCAGCCGCGGUAAUACGGAGGAUGCGAGCGUUAUCCGGAUUUAUUGGGUUUAAAGGGUGCGUAGGCGGAAUGCCAAGUCAGCGGUAAAAUCGCGGGGCUCAACCUCGCUCCGCCGUUGAAACUGGCGUUCUUGAGUGGGCGAGAAGUAUGCGGAAUGCGUGGUGUAGCGGUGAAAUGCAUAGAUAUCACGCAGAACUCCGAUUGCGAAGGCAGCAUACCGGCGCCCAACUGACGCUGAAGCACGAAGGCGUGGGUAUCGAACAGGAUUAGAUACCCUAGUA
This 466-nucleotide ribosomal RNA is filed under the name uncultured bacterium. RNAcentral describes it as "bacterial SSU rRNA". It matches the Rfam family "Bacterial small subunit ribosomal RNA", at positions 329 to 792 of the family's 1533-position model. The record is from RNAcentral.